UUAGGAAUUUUGGGCAAUGGCCGCAAGGCUGACCCAGCAACGCCGCGUGGGGGACGAAGGCUUUCGGGCUGUAAACCCCUUUUCCCAGGGACGAUGAUGACGGUACCUGGGGAAGAAGCCCCGGCUAACUACGUGCCAGCAGCCGCGGUAAUACGUAGGGGGCGAGCGUUGUCCGGAUUCAUUGGGCGUAAAGCGCGCGCAGGCGGCUGGGCAAGUCGGCCGUGAAAUCUCCGGGCUUAACUCGGAGGGGUCGGGCGAGACUGCACAGCUCGAGGCGGGUAGAGGGCAGUGGAAUUCCGGGUGUAGUGGUGGAAUGCGUAGAGCUCCGGAGGAACACCAGUGGCGAAGGCGGCUGCCUGGGCCCGGCCUGACGCUGAGGCGCGAAAGCGUGGGGAGCGAUCCG
RNAcentral lists this ribosomal RNA (403 nucleotides) under uncultured bacterium. RNAcentral's name for it is "bacterial SSU rRNA". It matches the Rfam family "Bacterial small subunit ribosomal RNA", at positions 355 to 775 of the family's 1533-position model. The record is from RNAcentral.